This 212-nucleotide long non-coding RNA is filed under the name Capsella rubella. RNAcentral's name for it is "long non-coding RNA (CRUB_LNC004189)". The record is from RNAcentral. Lineage: Eukaryota; Viridiplantae; Streptophyta; Magnoliopsida; Brassicales; Brassicaceae.
GGACCUUGGUUUGUGGAGAGACUUAAAUGAAUUGAUUUGUCACCUAUGUCACCAAAGUGCACUUAUCUUUUCGACCAAGAGUCCUGAGAAAAGCGUGCUUAUCCUGGAGUAGUCCAAGGAUGGAUGACCUUCUGGGAAAUGAUUGUCUGAACUAUGUGAGUGAGGUCAAAACACAGGGAAAGAUCAUGUGGUGAUUUUUACGAUCGGUAAAC